GCAGCCUGCAGGACAUACUUAUUUCUAACCUAAUUAGGUGUUGGCAUUAACUUUUCCUUUUCUCAGGUGCUUCAGGCAGCCCUGACCACGUGGGCAUGGAGGAUUUGAGCAUUACAUGCUACAGAAAUGGUGCCUGCCAUCUGAAAGCUUCUGCCUUCAGGUUCAAUUCUGCCUUCUCAGAGACCCUGAGAUCAAUGCAGCAUUCAUCUUAAUAUCUUAUGGGUACAGAAGAGUGUUCCAGUAGACAGCAGGACAUCAAUUACAGAUGUGAAGCAUACUCACAGGCAUAUGGGUCUUAUGUUAGCAGCCUGUUCAAAGAAUUAAGAAGUGAGGAUCCAAGACAGCCCAGAUGUUACAAAUUUCUAUCAGUGGUCACUGCAGCAUGAAAUCGCAUGUGAAUUUCACUUCUUGCAAUUCUUCAAGGCAAUGGGAGCCUGUAACAAGGGUGACUAUUCUGGAGAAACUGCCCAAGAGAACCUCUGUGCCUUGGUGUCCUGAUGGAGGAGAAAAACUUGACUCAAAUGAGGAUACAUCAGUUUUAAUCCCAUCAAAUCGUUGGCCUUUCUGUUAAAAACUUUAAGAAGAUUGUCUUCUAUGCUGAUGUUAUUUGUGAUGUGAACAUAUUCUCUGGAUUUGGAAAAUAAAACCAAGGUAACUGGAUUUUGAAAAUGAACUCAUUUACAAUUGGUUGUUAGAGUAGUCACAACAUGACUUUCAGGCCUCUUGUGGCUUGGGCAGAACCUGAACUUAAUAGUUCUUGAAAUUAAAAGCUCUGCACGCCAUUACUUAUUCCCUGGCCAUACCAGAUUGCUAAUAUAUUAUCUCUGAUGUUUUUGGGGUUUUUUAGAACAAUAUUUAGGCAAAAGGAAGAUGCAUUUCUGCAAUUCUGUCGGCAAAAUAACACUGACAGAAGAUGAUGUCAUGGUUGAUGUCUUUCUAUAGAAGUAUUUAUAAACUAUGCCUACAUAUAAAUCUAUAUCCUUCAACAGUCUGCUGAAA
Corvus hawaiiensis (hawaiian crow) is the source of this 999-nucleotide long non-coding RNA. RefSeq lists it as uncharacterized. The transcript is spliced from 3 exons. NCBI's taxonomy places the organism in Eukaryota, Metazoa, Chordata, Aves, Passeriformes, Corvidae. The record is from RefSeq and is a predicted model, not a curated record.